AACGAACGCUGGCGGCAGGCCUAACACAUGCAAGUCGAGCGCGCCCUUCGGGGGGAGCGGCGGACGGGUGAGUAACGCGUGGGAACGUGCCCUUUUCUACGGAAUAGCCUCGGGAAACUGAGAGUAAUACCGUAUACGCCCUUUGGGGGAAAGAUUUAUCGGAAAAGGAUCGGCCCGCGUUGGAUUAGGUAGUUGGUGGGGUAAUGGCCUCCCAAGCCGACGAUCCAUAGCUGGUUUGAGAGGAUGAUCAGCCACACUGGGACUGAGACACGGCCCAGACUCCUACGGGAGGCAGCAGUGGGGAAUCUUAGACCAUGGGGGCAACCCUGAUCGAGCCAUGCCGCGUGAGUGAUGAAGGCCUUAGGGUUGUAAAGCUCUUUCAGCUGGGAAGAUAAUGACGGUACCAGCAGAAGAAGCCCCGGCUAGCUCCGUG
This 433-nucleotide ribosomal RNA is filed under the name uncultured bacterium. Its description in RNAcentral is "partial 16S ribosomal RNA". It matches the Rfam family "Bacterial small subunit ribosomal RNA", at positions 29 to 507 of the family's 1533-position model. The record is from RNAcentral.